UUUCUCACUAUAAUUUGAUGUAAAAUUAUCUCAUAUUUGACUGGUAAAUUAGUAUCGGAUGGUAUUUUAUCUACAGUAUAUUGGCAAGAUAUCCAUCCAGGAUUUUAAAACACUGAUCACCAGCUAGCAAAUUAAGGUGUGACACACUGCCUGCUACUUCCUGCUAAGUGGAGGUUUAUGAUUGGCUGAAUAAGUCCAGGAAGAAAGGAGGAAAAUUAUCAAAAGUGAAGAAAGCAUGCCACAUCUCACCAAGCUUAAUUGUGUAAAAUUCAAUGGCAUUCCACCAAGAUUGCUGAUGAGUUCUGCAGACUUAGCUGAGACUUUUGGACAGAUGCAGCAUUGUAGGAACAUGUGGUCAUUCUUACCACUACCUCGGUUUGGUAAUAACUUAAACCACCGCUUGAACUCUCCUGCUCCCGGAAGCGAUGCAUAAAUUAAGGAUUAGUAAAAGUGAGAAUACCACCAGUGGAUCAUAAUGUAGUAAAGACGUGGAUGUAUGCAAUGCAGUCCAGGACUGAAAUCCAUGGUCAGUAGAUCCCUUAUGCUGUCUGGGAGAUCUUUAACUGUGCUGCCUGGAAGAUCUCCAACCACAGUAUGAGAUCUUUAACUACAGUAUGCUGUCUGGGAGAUCUGAGAUCUCUAACCGCAGUAUGAUGUCUGGGAGAUCUCUAACUGCAGUAUGCUGCCUGGGAGGUCUCUAUGGACACAUUCCGCGAGGGACUUGGAAGAUAUUGAAAAGGGCCUUGGUUGAUGUAUCCUUGUUUUGUAGGCCAUAGUUGUUGCUCACCUUGGCAAGUUUAUUACAACCAGAGGAUGCAUCAUGAGUCACAAUGCUAUGAUAAGACCAAUUGUUUGUGAGAAAAUUGAAUCACACAAAGUUUGAAGAGGAAUUCCUAACAGUGCAUGUCAUAAAAUUUGAUUUAGCCACUUUGAUAUUUCCACUAAGUGUGCCAAUAACUUAAUAACUGGGAUUCUAGGUUAGCUUCAAGAUCAUGAAGACUACAUUCUAAAAUGUGCAGAAGUGAUAGAAUGUGUAGGCCUAUAAAACAGCCAUAUUGACCAAUAUAUACUUUUCCUUGGCAUUUACAUUGCACACCGUUAUUGCACCAUUGUUUUAAAACCAUUGAAUUGCCUCUAUACUUUUGAGCUUCUAUAUUUAUUAUUUUUUCACUUUUUUUUUCUGGGUAUAGUAUUCUAAAUGCAAAUUCGGCAUUGUUUUUAUUGUAGUUCAAAUCAGAUAACUAAAAAUCUAUGUUUAUAAAGCAUGUAAAACUUGAUUCUAUACACUACACCACCAUACAGGUCGUUUUUAAUGAUGAUCCACGACUGCCACCGACAAUCAGCUUCAUUGCAGUAGUAAAUUCACCUGUUACAAAUGAUCCGUGCACAAGAUGAAGAAAUAUGAAAUUUGUAUGUUGUGCGUAUAAGGCGAUUCUGUUUUUCAAUUGUAAUUUGCUAUUUUAUUCCUCGUCAAGAGUAUUUAUGGUAUUACUCUUAUUAUUAUUAAUAUUAUUAUUUUUAUUAUUAUUAUUAUAAAAUAAAGGAAGGUCAUGAUAAAGUAUAUCAUUUUGUACUAGCAUAGGGUAAUGAAAUUCUACUAUUGAAAUUUUACCAUAACUGUAGUAAAAGUUGUACAAUUAAGGUAAUAAACUAUAAUAAUAUUUAUACAAUUGAGUUAAUUUCUGCUGUAAAUUAUUGUUAUGUUUAAGUACUAUAAUACAAUAUGUUAAAAUUUGGUAAACUGUAUGGUUCUUUCUUGGUUUUGCCAAUAAACUUGUUAAUUACCUGAAUCAAAUGAAUGAGUGUCCCUUUCAUGGUGUGUUAACAAAGUUGUUUUUUCAUUUGCUGUAUUCAGUGGCAAUAUCUAGGAGUCUUGAAAUGAGGGGGUAGUGAGGCGUGAAUGUGAAGUAGGGGGACCCAAGGAUUAAAUAAAGGGGGUGCUUGCUCGCAAAAUAAGGUGAUAUUAGAUGAUUUUAAACUUUUGAAUAUUUCUGAGGGGUGGAAAGCUUUUUAAGGAAGGCUAAAACCAUGCCCCCACACACCCCUAGAUAUCCCACUGGCUGUAUAUAAUAUCAAUUGAUUUUUGUUAUAACCAGACUUUUCUCUAGUGAGGCAUAAAAGCAGUCGAUGUAGGCCAACAAUCACUCCAUAAUCAUUGUAAGCUAUGUACUAGUAUGUCUUUAAUUAAGAAAAUGAAUUUCAGGCACAUGGCUUUUAUGUGACUUUGUUACCAUGACAAUACUUUUAAGAGGUUCCAAGAAAAU
Molecule: long non-coding RNA, 2264 nt
Organism: Anneissia japonica
Lineage: Eukaryota; Metazoa; Echinodermata; Crinoidea; Comatulida; Comatulidae
Exons: 4
Source: RefSeq, a predicted model, not a curated record